This 590-nucleotide long non-coding RNA is filed under the name Homo sapiens (human). RNAcentral describes it as "HSALNT0129467". Lineage: Eukaryota; Metazoa; Chordata; Mammalia; Primates; Hominidae. The record is from RNAcentral.
GUAUAAUCUUGUGCCAAGAAGAGUCUAUUAAGGCAGUUUCCUGUGAAGAAAUGGUGUGAGUGAUGUGGAAGGGAGUUGAAUGAUUUUAGAUUUUGAUGAUGACAAAGAACAUGUUAGUGUUGCUAAGGGAAUGAUAACUAGGAGACUGUGGUCACUGUGAUAACCACUCAAUGCUAAAUGAUGAUUGAGAACCAGAGAAAGGAGAGGGUUGGAGUUUGGAAAGAAGCUUGUCUUUUGUAACCGUCUAUAUACUCUCUCCUCCAGUCUUUUCAUGAGUGUAGGAAGUCAAACUAUGUGAGAGAGAAUUGUAGAAAGCAUGGAAGCAAUUCCAUGCAUCCGCAGAUGGGCACCUGGGGAAUCCUGGGUCAGGUUUCCGGUGAGUUGAAAAUGAUCAAAGGAAAACUUCCUUCCUCAAAGCAUCGUAGGAGGACAUGGAAGCAGAGUGCUGGGGAGGACCAGGAAAAGCCAGGGAUGAGAUGAGACAGCUAUAAGUAAGCAGCCCCAGUGAGUGUGAAGGAUUGGUAGAAAUGUUACUGAUGAUGUGAAAGAUUUAGACAGAGGGAUUAGGUAUGGUGUAUGAUGAGUUUGGU